RNAcentral lists this unclassified non-coding RNA (273 nucleotides) under Hevea brasiliensis (rubber tree). The record is from RNAcentral. Lineage: Eukaryota; Viridiplantae; Streptophyta; Magnoliopsida; Malpighiales; Euphorbiaceae.
GAUUAAUCGGGCAUUUGAGAUUAUCCAACCCAUAUCUUGGAGGGUCAUGCUCCCAGAUUUUCUGGUGGAUUUUGCAGCCAUGGCAUGGUUGGAAUCUCUUGUUGCCUGAGCUUAACACAAAUCUGAGCCUCAAUUUUUCUCUGUUCAGCUUGGCCUUUUUUAUUAUAUUUAGGGUAUGUUCGGUAUGAAGGAAAAUGUUAUCGAGAGUUGAGAUACAAAAAAACAAAAAGCUCAGAAGGGAAUGAAUGAGGCUACAAAUGAGUUGAGGAUUUU